This is a long non-coding RNA of Oncorhynchus tshawytscha (Chinook salmon), 478 nucleotides long. NCBI's taxonomy places the organism in Eukaryota, Metazoa, Chordata, Actinopteri, Salmoniformes, Salmonidae. The record is from Ensembl.
GGGGGGGUGGUGAGGGUACCUGUCUGGUACAGGUACCUCCACCACACUCCCCCCUCUCUCCCUGGCCUGUCUCCCCUUGUCUGGUACAGGUACCCCCACCACACUCACCCCUCUCUCCCUGGCCUGUCUGGUACAGGUACCCCCACCACACUCACCCCUCUCUCCCUGGCCUGUCUCCCCUUGUCUGGUACAGGUACCCCCACCACACUCACCCCUCUCUCCCUGGCCUGUCUGGUACAGGUACCCCCACCACACUCACCCCUCUCUCCCUGGCCUGUCUGGUACAGGUACCUCCACCACACUCACCCCUCUCUCCCUGGUCUGUCUCCCCCUGUCUGGUACAGGUACCCCCACCACACUCCCCCUCUCUCCCUGGCCUGUCUCCCCUUGUCUGGUACAGGUACCUCCACCACACUCACCCCUCUCUCCCUGGCCUGUCUCCCCUUGUCUGGUACAGGUACCCCCACCACACUCCCCC